This 497-nucleotide ribosomal RNA is filed under the name uncultured bacterium. RNAcentral's name for it is "partial 16S ribosomal RNA". It matches the Rfam family "Bacterial small subunit ribosomal RNA", at positions 28 to 507 of the family's 1533-position model. The record is from RNAcentral.
GAUGAACGCUGGCGGCGUGCCUAAUACACGCAAGUCGAGCGAACAGACGAGGAGCUUGCUCCUCUGACGUUAGCGGCGGACGGGUGAGUAACACGUGGAUAACCUACCUAUAAGACUGGGAUAACUUCGGGAAACCGGAGCUAAUACCGGAUAAUAUAUUGAACCGCAUGGUUCAAUAGUGAAAGACGGCUUUUCUGUCACUUAUAGAUGGAUCCGGGCCGGAUUAGCUAGUUGGUAGGGUAACGGCUUACCAAGGCAACGAUGCGUAGCCGACCUGAGAGGGUGAUCGGCCACACUGGAACUGAGACACGGUCCAGACUCCUACGGGAGGCAGCAGUAGGGAAUCGUCCGCAAUGGGCGAAAGCCUGACGGAGCAACGCCGCGUGAGUGAUGAAGGUCUUCGGAUCGUAAAACUCUGUUAUUAGGGAAGAACAAAUGUGUAAGUAACUAUGCACGUCUUGACGGUACCUAAUCAGAAAGCCACGGCUAACUACGUG